RNAcentral lists this long non-coding RNA (6376 nucleotides) under Sus scrofa (pig). RNAcentral's name for it is "lncRNA (ENSSSCG00040069457.1)". Lineage: Eukaryota; Metazoa; Chordata; Mammalia; Artiodactyla; Suidae. The record is from RNAcentral.
CAUUUCAAGAAUGUAUUUUCCAAAUCAUAUUUUCCAAAAGCCUUUUAGAAGCAGUUAAAGCAAAUAUUAUUACCUAAAUUGUUCAUUAUCUAGAUGUUGGGGAAGAUCACUAAUUCCAAGGAUCUGAAUCGUUUCGAAGUUUUCAACCAGUAAAAACCAGUAAUUUGUCUGGAAGUACAUGAUGCAUUAGCUUUACUCUCAGAGGAUCUGAAACUUUUUUUUUUUGGCCGCACCUGCAGCAUAUGGAAAUUCCCAGGCCAGGGAUCGAAUCUGGUCCACAGCUGUGACCUGCCCCAUAGCUGCGGCAAUAUGGUAUCCUUAACCCACUGCACGGAGCUGCACCUCCACAGAGAUGAUGCAGGUUUUUUAGCUCACUGCACCACAGCAGCAACUCUGGAGUCUGAAACUCUUCAGCAUGAAUUCCAUCAAAAUGUUUCACUUCCGGUUAUACUCCAAUAAGCUCUUUGGUCCAAAGGCUGCUGCCUCUUCUGUUCCUGAGCUAAGACAUGCGGGCUGCCCAGGGCAGAGAUGUGUUCUGGGUGACCCCGUCUAUAGACCUCCCCACGAUCACAAGUGAAGUCCCCCCUCCUCAGAAUCUUUGGCAAAGACGAUGCUCUAAGAUGGGAUUCAGGAGGGUAUAAUCCACUAUAACUGGCCAAAGGCAAAUGCUUAUGUAAAUGAGGGUCUUAGUAGAUGAAAUUGAAAUAAAUGGACCUCAUCCUAUGCCAAAGGGCCUGGUCUCCCCAUUAAAAGACAAAUAACUGUGGACGUUAUAGCUCUCUUCAAGGAUUUCCUGUCGUGUUUGCCUCAACACUCUGCCGAAGUUAUCUAGAAGAGAUUAGGUCUCUGAGAAUUUUUUCCUUCUUCUUGUCUUUGAUUUGGAAGAUCCACCGGGAUGGAAAGUAACAUUUCUCCAAUAGUUAACUUUCCAAACAAACAAAUGAACAAAAAUAAACAAAAGAGCACCUCAAGGGGUCACAAACAUCUGAAGUAGCAUCCAUCACCCCUGUUGAACCCUGUAAGGGCGCAUCAGAUAAGCAUUUCCAGCCAGUCUUAGAUGAUCGCUGCCCUGAUGGCCACCAGGCAGCGGAAGAUCAAGUGUGCUCCCUGCGCCCCACCCGCUGCGUUUCCUUUCUAGGUCUCCUCUUCCUCAUUGGAAACUAUCUUUAUCCCCACAGUUACUGGAUUUGAAGUCAGAUCUUAGACAAGUCCCUAGUCUACUCAUAGCUAAGUGUGGUCUCUUGAAGUUCUAGAAGGUCUGUAGGUUUGUUUCUCUAUCUGUGAACAGGUUGAGGUCCUGUCCAAGAGAGGGGAUGUUCAUGGCAAGUGUGGUGGGAGAUGACACGCAGACAUUGACUCAAGCUAGGCUUGCAGCCAUCCUCUAUCCGUCUCUGCACCUUGGCCCACACACUGAAUCGGCCUCUUUUUUCAGCCAUUCUCACUCUCUCUGGACCAGACCUCCAUCAGCUCCCUCUAGGAAUAUAGUGAUUGUUGGUCCUAACUGGCCUAUUUAUCUCCAGUCCAUCAUUCCCAUUCCUGGUAGUAGGUGCAGGGGAGGGAAAAAUUAUUUUUUCUCCACCCACUUCAGGUUGAUUGAAUGGAGUUAUGCAAAUUAGACUGACAACUAGAGGGAGGCUGGGAGCAUUUCUCAUGUCUGCUUUUUAGGGCCACACCUGCAGCAUAUGGAGGUUUCUAGGCUAAGAGUUGAAUCAGAGCUGGAUCUGCUGGCCUCCGCUACAGCAGUGCCAGAUCUGAGCCUUGGCUGCAACCUACAUUGACACUCACAGCAAUACCAGAUCCUUAACCCACUGAGGGGGGCUGAGGCCGGGGGUCGAACCCACAUCCUCAUGGCAACGAUCCAGGCUCUUAAUCGGCUGAGUCACAAUGGGAACGCCUUCAUUGGCUUUCUCUUCAAAAUCAUCCAUAUGCCAAAGUGGCAUUUUGGGGGGUGACAUUCUGUUAUCCUUCACAUACGAAUGUGUACAUACUUACACAUAUUUACAUGCUGUAUUUUACAUGGAUAUUUACAUGCUGUAUCCCCCAGCUCAAAACCUUAAGUAACUAUUCUUUGCAUAUAGAAAAAAUAUCUCCUUAGCCUGGCCUUCAACGGCCCCAUCAUCUAGCUUCAACUGACCUUUGAAAACAUAUUGUGCAUUAUAUCCCCUCCAACCACACUGAGCUUCUGAUCCUUUUCCAAGCACCCUAUGCAUUUGCAGAGUCUUGUAUCUUUGUUUAAAUACUUCUGUUACGGUGGAACCAUUCUCUUCCCAAUCCGAAAAUUGUGUGUUCUGCCAAACACACGUCAAAAGAUACUUAGAGUCAUCCCAGAAACUUGCCCUCACAAUGAGUCACCCACCGCCUGCCUCCCCUUGGCAUCUCCUGUUCCUCUCUCACGGCCUCAGACUUACGCUGCCCUACGGAGCGACCACAGGAGAUCUUACACUGAAGACACACGUUGCCUCAUUUACCUUUGUUUCCCCUAUCCCCUCAAAUAUUCGGCAGAGAGCUUUGCACAGAGUCAAUGCUCAGUGAACAGGUUUUGACCAAUGAAAAAACGAAGAGCACAGAACUAAGAAAGAACAGUAAGUCGCACCUUUGCCUAACUUACUGAGAGUUAAGCGGGAGCCCAGAGAGACCCUGUCAUCGUUCCAUAAGUCACUGAGCCCGGAGCACAGAGCCUGGAGUCACUUUCUCCAGGUCCGAAGCUCAGCUGUGUGGUGCUAUUAUAACUUCGCGUUCCUGCUGAGACACAAUGUCAGGCUGAGAUGUAGCCAUGGCCUGUGACAGUUAAUUAAGUACAGGUGUCCUCAGAAGCCAUCUGGAAAGAAGGCGAUCUUGGGCCUGCUGUGUGCUCACUAAUCCCUGGGGCUGGGGAGGAGGGCCGUGUCAGUUUAAAUCAGUUUGGCUAGUGGGAGCUUUGUUUAGACACCUGCUCCUCUUCAGUAACCAAAGGUAACUGAUAGCUGUGUGCUUGUACGUGCCCAGACAGGCUUCCAGCCCCCAACAGCCAACUAAAAUUAUCCUUCUUGAGGGAUCUAUUUGAAUCUGACGUGUGCUCAUUUCUUUUCUUCAAAAUAUCAUGGAAAUAUCAAGAGACUGCUCACUGCUAUUUGGGGAUAGACAACAAUGUCUCUCUCGACAGGCCUCAGGCUUGGGGUGCUUCCAGAACCCCAUGGGGGCCAGACACCCAGGCAUCUUGGAGGAAGAGAGGAAAAGGCUGGAGGCUGCAGAUCUUUCUCCUCCAUUUAGAAUUUCUCAGGAAAGAGGUCGAUGUUUUUGCCGCAGACAUUGCUCUGGACCACAGACCCCGCCUUCCUCCCCUGGCAACCUUCAGCCCCUUCACCCCUAAAGUUCAGUCUAAAAUACUGCCUCUUCCCCUGAGACCGUCCCUGAUGUAUGCGGACCCCAUUUCUCUCUUUCCUCCGAUCUGUUCUUAUACUUCUCAUUGGUACCACCGAAUUUGCAUUUUUUGGCCUCUCUCUAUUUUAAAGAUGUUAGCUUAAGCUUCCCUGCCAGAAGGCAGGCCUCUUUAGGGGCUGGAAUAAUGCCUCUCUUUCGCCUCCUACCACAGUCUCACUUGACAAACACUUCUUGGAAGUCAUUGACAUCAAGUCAGAAGCUUCAGCUGCUACCACAGUCUCUUGACAACCCUGAUUCCUAAAAAUCCUUUAGAAACCCAAAAGCAAGCUGAAUUGCUGCUUAAAAACAGUUCCUUAAAGACCAAAAAUACUCCUACAAGGAAUCUUACACCAGUGACAGCUCAAAUCAUUUGUGGGCACUUCCUUACCCAGCAUGAGCUACAUUCAGAGACUCCUGAUGGACUUUAAGGAAGACAGAGCUUUUUGUUUUUAUUAUUUAUUUAUGUAUGUUGCUUUUUAGGACCGUACCAGCAGCAUAUGGAGAUUCCCAGAUUAGGGGUCAAAUCAGAGCUACAGCUGCAGGCCUACACCACAGCCAUAGCCACUUGGGAGCCCAGCAGCAUCUGUGACCUACAUCACAGCUCAUGGCAACGCCAGAUCCUUAACCCACUUGAGUGAGGCCAGGGAUCGACCCACAUCCUCACAGAUAGUAGUCGGAUUCAUUUCCUCUGGGCCACAAUGGGACCUCCAAGAAGGCAAAUUUUUAAUCUUCUGAGUCACAUGAUGGAGAGGAAAGUGGCCAUCAGAGAAGUCCUUCAAAAAGGGCAGGAUGAGCUCGGGCUACUGGGGACACAGUGAAACAGAAGAGGUUGGAAGCUGCCAUUCACCCCAUUUGAUGCUUAAAAUCAUUCUGAAAUUUCCAGGCCGUAUUUUUUUUUUGUUUUUUGUUUUUGUCUUUUUAGCUCCAUAUGCCACCCAUGGCAUAUGGAGCUUCCCAAGCUAGGGGUUGAAUCGGAGCUGUAGCCGCUGGCCUAUGUCAUAGCUGCUGGCCUAUGUCACAGCCACAGAAAUGCCAGAUCCGAGCCACAUCUGUGACCUACACCACAGCUCACAGUGACACUGGAUCCUUAACCCACUGAGCAAGGCCAGGGGUCGAACCCACACCCUCACGAUUCCUAGUCAGAUUUUGCGGGUUCGAUCCCUGACGGGCACUCCCAGGCCAUAUUUUUUUAAGUGCAGCAUUUCCAGCGCUCUCUCAUCAACCUUAGAAUAUGGUUCAAGCUUUGGAAAUUAAGAAAUCUGUUCCUGUUUCAUCUUGAGCAUCCUAUUAAAGUAUAAAGGUUUUUUAUUCUUCAUGUAAAAAGCAUGACUCUAUGGACUUCCUGGGAAUGUAUACAUUAUAUAUUGGCUACAGUAAGACACUGAAAACUUGAACUCCUAAAAUCAAGGGGUGUGGUUGUAGUGAAGGAAGAAGAGAUGUGUGGAAAAAUAGAAUUUUAUUGCUGGAAUAAACCUUCUGAAUGUGUGUGAGGGGAACUCUGGGAGAACAAAGAAAUUAGACUCAUUAGAUUUAUUUUAUCAGGGAAAAGAGAUGGUUAAAGAGCCGUUGACAGUUAUGAAGAAAACAUUUCUUGGAAUUCCCGUCAUGGCACAGUGGUUAACAAAUCUGUCUAGGAACCAUGAGGUUGCGGGUUCGAUCCCUGGCCUUGCUCAGUGGGUUAAGGAUCCAGUGUCACUGUGAGCUGUGGUGUAGGUGGCAGACGCGGCUCGGAUUCUGAGUUGCUGUGGCUCUGGCGUAGGCUGGUGGCUACAGCUCUGAUUCGACCCCUAGCCUGGGAACCUCCAUAUGCCGCGGGAGCGGCCCUAGAAAAGACAAAAAGACAAAAACAAACAAACCAAAACUCGAACAAAAUGCUCAUCUUCUUUCAGAACAGAUUAGGAGCAUUAAAUGGUAUUAGGCUGUGGUGAAAUACGGUAUUGAAACCGACAGCACUCAUGGCCUGAACCGGGCCAGAACACAGAUUGGGACUUGAACCCAUGUGCUGGGACUCGAACCCAGCCAAAACCCAGACUGGGACUUGAGCGCACUGUUUUAAAUUAGAAUUACUCACCCUGUGUCACCCUUUAUGCCUCUGUGCAGAAGGAAUUCAGUGAGAGACAAAGUGUUGGGCAAGAAACAAAUUUUUUAGGACACUUGUGAGAAAUACAGCGGGCAGACAAAGAAGCUCUGCUCUGAAGAUCCCGUGGGCCACAGUUGUAUCAUUGAAAGGGUGUGGGGGUCGGAAACGCCCGCCUCUUCCUUUCUGGGAGUCACAGCUCCUCCUUAAUAUCCUGGUAAGAUGCCUUCUUCAAACUCUUGCCCUUGAUCUGAAUCUGAAUGCAGGCCUCAUCCCAUCCCCCACCCAACGACCUGAGGCAAUUUUCGCCCCUCCACUAGUCAAGCAAGCCUGCCUUGUUCUGAUGUCUUUCUAGAACUUACGGUGGUCUCCCAACAUCUCCCAGGUUUCCCUCUAUCUGUGAUCCCCUCUUGGGACUUCUACCACCACCUGUGCCUACUCCAACCCUAUCAGCAUCAUAAUGUAACAGCACCAGUAAAACCAUCAAAGUUUUGCCUUAAGGAGUUCCCACUGUGGCCAGUGGAAACAAACCUGACUAGCAUCCAUGAGGAUUUGAGUUGGAUUCCUGGCCUCCCUCAAUGGGUUAAGGAUCCACAGUUGCCAUAAGCUGUGGUGUAAGCCGGCAGCUGCAGCUCCGAUUUGACUCCUGGGAACUUUCAUAUGCUGCAGGUGUGGCCCUAAAAAGACAAAAAAAGUUUUGCCUUUCAAUGCGCUGUAAACUGUGGAAAGGGAAGGAUAUAGUUAAUAACAUCACCAAAGGUUUCUCAAAGAAGGAUGCUGGGAGUUCCCCUUGUGGCGCAGCAGAAACGAAUCUGACUAGGAACCAUGAGGUUGAGGGUUUGAUCCCUGGCCUCGCUCAGUGGGUUAAGGAUCCGGCAUUGCCCUGAGCUGUGGUGUAGG